CCUACGGGUGGCAGCAGUGAGGAAUAUUGGUCAAUGGACGAGAGUCUGAACCAGCCAAGUAGCGUGAAGGAUGACUGCCCUAUGGGUUGUAAACUUCUUUUAUAUGGGAAUAAAAUGUUCCACGUGUGGGAUUUUGUAUGUACCAUAUGAAUAAGGAUCGGCUAACUCCGUGCCAGCAGCCGCGGUAAUACGGAGGAUCCGAGCGUUAUCCGGAUUUAUUGGGUUUAAAGGGAGCGUAGGUGGAUUGUUAAGUCAGUUGUGAAAGUUUGCGGCUCAACCGUAAAAUUGCAGUUGAAACUGGCAGUCUUGAGGACAGUAGAGGUGGGCGGAAUGCGUGGUGUAGCGGUGAAAUGCUUAGAUAUCACGAAGAACUCCGAUUGCGAAGGCAGUUCACUGGACUGCAACUGACACUGAGGCUCGAAAGUGUGGGUAUCAAACAGGAUUAGAUACCCUUGUAGUC
This 460-nucleotide ribosomal RNA is filed under the name uncultured bacterium. RNAcentral describes it as "partial 16S ribosomal RNA". It matches the Rfam family "Bacterial small subunit ribosomal RNA", at positions 338 to 795 of the family's 1533-position model. The record is from RNAcentral.